RNAcentral lists this ribosomal RNA (441 nucleotides) under uncultured bacterium. Its description in RNAcentral is "partial 16S ribosomal RNA". It matches the Rfam family "Bacterial small subunit ribosomal RNA", at positions 338 to 795 of the family's 1533-position model. The record is from RNAcentral.
CCUACGGGAGGCAGCAGUGGGGAAUAUUGCACAAUGGGCGAAACCCUGAUGCAGCGACGCCGCGUGAGUGAAGAAGUAUUUAGGUAUGUUAAGCUCUAUCAGCAGGAACGAGACAAGACGGUACCUGACUAAGAAGCCCCGGCUAACUACGUGCCAGCAGCCGCGGUGAUACGUAGGGGGCAAGCGUUAACCGGAAUCACUGGGUGUAAAGGGAGCGUAGACGGCUGAGCAAGCCUGAAGUGAAAGGCGGGGGCCCAACCCCCGGACUGCUUUGGGAACUGGACGGCUGGAGUGCAGGAGAGGUAAGUGGAAUUCGUAGUGUAGCGGUGAAAUGCGUAGAUAUUAGGAGGAACACCAGUUGCGAAGGCGGCUUACUGGACUGUAACUGACGUUGAGGCUCGAAAGCGUGGGGAGCAAACAGGAUUAGAUACCCGAGUAGUC